Small nuclear RNA from Chlorocebus sabaeus (green monkey), 143 nucleotides. Its record names the gene U1. It matches the Rfam family "U1 spliceosomal RNA". From Rfam's summary of the family: U1 is a small nuclear RNA (snRNA) component of the spliceosome (involved in pre-mRNA splicing). NCBI's taxonomy places the organism in Eukaryota, Metazoa, Chordata, Mammalia, Primates, Cercopithecidae. The record is from Ensembl.
ACACUUACCUGGCAGGAGAGAUACCCGGAUCAGGAAGGUGUUUUCCCAAGGGAGGCUCCUUGUGCUGUCAUGAUUUUCCCCAAGUGCAGGACACUCAACUGCAUAAUCUGUGUAGUGGGAGAUAGUGUUUGUGCCAUCCCCUG